ACAGAGGGUGCGAACGUUGCUCGGAAUUACUGGGCGUAAAGCGCGUGUAGGCGGACCGGUAAGUCAGAUGUGAAAUCCCUGGGCUCAACCCAGGAACUGCAUUUGAAACUGCUGGUCUAGAGUAUCGGAGAGGGUGGCGGAAUUCCUGGUGUAGAGGUGAAAUUCGUAGAUAUCAGGAGGAACACCGGUGGCGAAGGCGGCCACCUGGACGGUCACUGACGCUGAGACGCGAAAGCGUGGGGAGCAAACAGG
This 252-nucleotide ribosomal RNA is filed under the name uncultured bacterium. RNAcentral's name for it is "partial 16S ribosomal RNA". It matches the Rfam family "Bacterial small subunit ribosomal RNA", at positions 525 to 776 of the family's 1533-position model. The record is from RNAcentral.